GACGAACGCUGGCGGCGUGCCUAAUACAUGCAAGUAGAACGCUGAAGGAUGAUCUUGCUUCUCUGGAUGAGUUGCGAACGGGUGAGUAACGCGUAGGUAACCUGCCUGGUAGCGGGGGAUAACUAUUGGAAACGAUAGCUAAUACCGCAUAAUAGCAGUUAUUGCAUGAUAACUGUUUGAAAGGUGCAAUUUCACCACUACCAGAUGGACCUGCGUUGUAUUAGCUAGUUGGUGGGGUAACGGCUCACCAAGGCGACGAUACAUAGCCGACCUGAGAGGGUGAUCGGCAAAACUGGGACUGAGACACGGCCCAGACUCCUACGGGAGGCAGCAGUAGGGAAUCUUCGGCAAUGGACGGAAGUCUGACCGAGCAACGCCGCGUGAGUGAAGAAGGUUUUCGGAUCGUAAAGCUCUGUUGUAAGAGAAGAACGAGUGUGAGAGUGGAAAGUUCACACUGUGACGGUAUCUUACCAGAAAGGGACGGCUAACUACGUG
RNAcentral lists this ribosomal RNA (495 nucleotides) under uncultured bacterium. RNAcentral describes it as "partial 16S ribosomal RNA". It matches the Rfam family "Bacterial small subunit ribosomal RNA", at positions 28 to 507 of the family's 1533-position model. The record is from RNAcentral.